ACUUCUUCCAAACUAGGCAGUGCUGCAAGCUCAUCCCUGGUUUGAUGUUGCGGGAUUUGUGAGAUGGUCUCUUUGGCCACAUUGGAGCUGCGAUUCAGCAGGUUCUGAUAGUGCUCUUUCCAACGUAGUGCAAUUGAUGUUUUGUCCUUCAGAAGUUUGGUUCCAUCUGAUGAGCGUAGGGGCUGUAUGCCAUGGUUUCUUGGUCCGUAAAUGAUCUUUGUGGUUUUGAAAAAUCCCUGAGCAUCAUGGGUAUCUGCAAGGUGUUGGAUUUCUUCAGCCUUCUUUAUCCACCAGAUGUUCUUGAGUUAUCUGGUCCUCAGCUUUUGCACUGGCAUAGAUCUUUUUCUUGGCAGCACAGUUGGUGUCUCUCUGCCAUGUUUGGAAGGCUUCCCUUUUGUUAUCAAUUAGCUGUUGGAUCUCUUUGUCGUUAUCGUCAAACCAGUCUUGAUGUUUCUUAGUUUGGUUUCCAAUGGUGUCUUUGCAGACUGUGAUGAUGGAGGUCUUCAGUUUGUUCCAAUGUUCCUCAACAUUUUCGGGGUGUUCUGUGGGUAGAUGAUCCUUGAGUGUUGUUUGGAGAAGGGCUCGUUUGGAGGGCUCCUGAAGGGCUUGGGUGUUCAUUUUACACCUUGUUUUUCUUCCUUGGAGUCUGCGUUUGGGGAUGAUCUUGAUAGCCAUCGUGGAUCGGAUUAACCUGUGGUCCAUCCAGCAGUCAUCAGCACCUGUCAUGGCUCUUGUGAGAAGCACAUCGCGGCGGUCUCUGGCACGUGUAAUGACAUAGUCCAAGAGGUGCCAAUGCUUUGAUGUCUUGAGCUUGUUUUUCUGGUGGAAGAGCGUGUUGGUGAUGGCAAGGUUGUGCUCUCCACAUUUGGUGAGAAGCAAGAUGCCAUUCGAGUUGCUGUUUCCGACCCCGUCUUUUCCUAUGAUCCCUGGCCACAGGUCAGAGUCCCAUCCGACUCUGGCAUUAAAGUCCCCCAGGAGGAUGAUUUUGUCCUCCUUAGGAAUCUCCGCUAGGACGGUGUCCAGCUGACAAUAAAAAUUUUCCUUGAUGUCUUCGUCAGCAUCUAGAGUUGGUGCAUAGACACAUAUGAUGGUUGCCUGUUGGUUUUUGGCAAGGUUAAUUCGGAGGGUUGAGAGUCGUUCAUUGAUGCCAGUGGGUGCUUCAGUCAGGUGCUUCACCAGGUUAUUUCUGAUAUCAAAGCCAACUCGGUGUAUUCUUCACUCUUCUUCAGGCAGUCCCUUCCAGAAGAAGGUGUAGCCUCCCUUUUCUUCCUUCAGCUGUCCCUCUCCUGCUCUCUGGGUCUCCUGAAGGGCUGCUAUGUCGAUCUUAAAGCGUCCCAGCUCCCUUGCAAUGAUAGCAGUCCUGCGUUCGGGGCGUUCGCUGUCAGUGUUAUCCAACAGUGUCCGUACGUUCCAUGUUCCAAAGUUCAUUUCUCUUUUUUGGCCGCAGAGUGGUGACCCUCUGGACGUGGCAGUCCAGUCAGGGUAAGAGAGGCAGACUAUGUUUAGGGCACCUUUUCUAGCCCCUUCCCCGUGUGGGGUGAGCAGAGCGGAUCCUAAAAAGGGCUGCUCAGUCAUGGAUACAGCUGCCGGACUACUCAACUGCCUCGGUCCUUGAGGUAGAACGACUGAGUCCAUAUCCACCGCCCAUGUGCCAGUCUGUGACUAGGGGCUUCCAGAUUUCACAGUCCUGUCCCCGUCACCACUCGCUGAUUGCCAUGGGACAUUUUUGGUUUGUUUUCAUUUUUCUUGGAAGACGCCUGUGUGUGAUUUUUUUAAAUGUGUGGAGGUCGGUGCACAGCCGGUCAACACAUAGUCUUCACAGAAUGAGGUCCCAGCAGUGGUGUGGUUAACACAACAAGAGUGGCUUCUCAGUCUGUUGCAGCCUUCUUCCGCCUUCACAGCCAUUGUAACAUGUAUCAUGUUAUCCUCCGCCUGCUCCACCGUUGAGGUCUUUGGGUCUUCAGAUUGUGCUUGGUCUGGAACCUCCCCUGCGGCCACUCCUGGGAGUGCAUCACUCCAGUGGUUGUGCCCGCAGGUUCAUUGGAACACGCAAGCCCCCUCACCAAGACAAGGUGACAAUCCAUCGAGGGUUUAUAAUUACAACUUAUAUUCCAAAUCUAUGUAUAGCAGAUUAUAGGGACAAAUGGUAGAUGAAAUCUUGUCUACAUUAAAGGCAGAAUAAGUAGCUUACAAUAGGCAUAUUAGAAAAGGAAAUGCAUAUGUUAAUGGAAAUUGAGGAAAGCUUAUGCAAUUCUACAUAAUUGGUCAAAUUAUAAAAGUAAUCACUACAUGCUCUGAAUCAGGAAAAUAAUUUUUAAAUAAAAAAUUAUUGCGGUCAAAUAACUUUUAAAAAACUCUUCUAAAUUCAGCUGGUUUUGCCUCAUUGGCAGGAAAGGGGUUAAGUUCCAGCCACUAGAUCUCAGGGGAAAGGAACUUUGCUGCCAUUCUCUCUGAAUGCAGGGAUAUGUGUGUGUGUGUAAGCGCGCAAGGGGAACCAUCUUUUGGCUAGCACAAUCUUCCCGCUGCUCUCAGGUGCUUUUACAAAUGGAUCAACAGCCUUAAAGCAAGCGCAAAUUUCUCAAUAUAUGAAUUUAGAAAAUGGUCUUCUUGCGUGUGGUCAAAUUAUUGUAGUGUAGCCCUACCUUUCAUUUUUUCAAGAAAAUAUUUGUUUCUUUCUCUGCUGGAAAAAAGGAACAUCAGCUCCAAAGAGUUCAGCACUAUCUUACUUUGAAAGCACAGGAACAUAAGCUGCAAUAAGAUUGGUUAGAUCACUGCCACCUACACAUGCUUUCUGAUAGACUAUGCUUCUGCUUUGGAGGAAAGACUUCUAGUAAACUCACCCUACUGAGAUGUUUCUGCUGAUGGCUACAUCGGAAUUGUUCCUGCUUUUGGGCUGGAUAUGGCAGUCAGACUCCCUCUGCUCACCCACCACAUUUUUCAAAAACUGUUGGAUCCGGCGCUUCCCAGGUCUUGGAAUUGAUCUGGAGAAUUCACAGAGGAAAGGGGCCCACAUCAUCAAAGUAUAUGCAGAAUCAACAGCACUGCGGUGUAGCCAGACUUGUUGCCUUCUCAAGAACGUUUCCUGUAACUUGGCAGUUUUCUACAAUGAAACCAACAACCUGAAUCUUAAGUGUGCGCAUAUUUACUGUCCAAUGUUGGAGAGCUGUAUACUGAAGCCUAAGGCCAAUGCUGUAUUAUACAACAUUACAACAGGCAUUGAUCCAGAUCUCCUUGUAUUUGAGAAGCUUUCUUUUAAAGAUGUGACUAUUAAGUCUUCUUUUAGUAAAUGGGAAAGGCAUGGAAACGUAAGGGCUGCUGAUUCAGACAAAUGCCAAGACUCAACCACCACUUCUAGGGGCCUUCCUCCCGAGACCUCACCUUCGGCAGUAGUACAAGGACUAGAAACUAACAGUAAAACUACAAGGACUGCAAGUGGCCCUGUGUACAAGAAUGCGUCCAUUACAUAUUUGGGACCUACAGUGGCAUCAAUGGAGGGACAUUUUACUAACGUGACAAACAUCAUUUCAGAAAGAAAGAGUCCAAGAAUCACAUCUGACAAAGCAACUACACUUCCUACCUCUGUGCUCACAUCCAUCAAGAUGUUAUCACAUUUACCCAAUAUGGCCCACCUGAACAACAGCAAACACCUGAAUGAAACCAAAGGUUAUGGUGGAAGGAAUUAUACUUCAGAGGACCAAGGCCACAAGCCAGCUUGGGAGGGAGUAGGAAGGAAAAGCUGGUUGCUUCCAGUGAUGCUUUGUUCUUCACUCAUCCUGAUCUGUUGUUGCAGCAUUUUUCUUGCCACAGGAUGCCAUCGCAAGAGGCAUGGCCGCUAUACACCAAGACGGAGAGGGAGAGCCAGCGUACAGGCAAAAAUGGUCUUUAAUGGAAAAAUGUCAAAUAGCAGAUAGCUUAACAUCUCACAUUUCAAAAGGGCAGACUAGAGUGGAGAACUGCAAGACUGAGAACUGAAAAAGUAGCUGCGAUUGCUUUAAAAAUGAAGCAUUUUUGUCUGUCUUGGAUUGGUUACGAGUAUUAUAUCUGACCAUUAAAUUAGAACAAGAUCUAAUUCCUCAGCACAUAUGUUUUCUGUUCACUACAGCGUACUGAGUUCCUUUAUCUAUCCUUUUAGCAUUUUCUGAAAUUUAUCCAGUAAUGGACGUGAUAAGGCCACAAACACUCUGUCAGCAUAUCAAUACUAAAUAUGAACACUUGCACUAAGGGGGCAGAGAAGGAAACUAGAGGCACUUUUAGGACAUUUUAUAUUAAAAAAAAUGCACUGAGACAUUGUUUGAACUAUGGAAAUCUCAAUCUAAGAGCAGUUUGCAUCCUCAGAAGUUCCUGUUUGUAAUAUACAGAUUUUAAUUACACAACCCAACAACAAAAAUUCUUGGGAUCUUGGUUUUUAGGCCUGCUCCUGGGGUUAUUUGGGAUGCUAAUUCAGAAAAUUGCAUUGGAUACGCAUCAAUUCUAGUUUCUUAAAAAUUGUUAUCAUGGUCUUCUGUGGACGAGCAGAUGGUGAUUUGUAUGUCAUAGGUUCUGUAUCUCAAAAAAUUAGAGCUAAUGGGAGGAACUGGUGCCAUUUUUUAAAAAAUCAGAUCAAAUAUACCCAAAAGCAGGUCUAAAUUUGAGGCAACAAAAUGUGUGUUGGCUGCAACCAGAACUCCUGGUAGCUUACAAUUAAAAAAAAAGAUAUGGUGCUUUGGUAGGACAAGGAACCCAUUUAUAAUCAAAACUGAGGUCCUACUAAACAUUCAGACUAGAGAGUAUACUAACUCUGUAUGCUCAAUCAACAAUCACCACCUGUUAGAUGGGGAGACCCAUUAUUCUGAAAUGUUAAACCUCCGUUUCUGCCCUUCCUUGAAUUGGCUAAGAAAGUGGUUCUUAACCUGUGGGUUCCCAGAUGUUUUUGGCCUUCAACUCCCAGAAAUCCUAACAUUGAUCUAUAUUAUAGAUUGCUAAAGCAGAAGUUAAGCAUCAAGGAUCUAUAAUACAAUUAAAAGUGCAGCGAGCACUGAAGAGUACUAAGCACUAUUUCUAUCACAGUAGCUAAUAAUGCAACUACCUUUUGAUUGUUAGGACAGACAAUAUGAUUCUCUGCUGUGUAACAUACGCCAAACAUGCUUUCUUACAAGUUGUCAUGAUCCCCAUCUCAUGCCAUCUCUGGACACAGAGUGCUGACACAGAGCAGAUGGCCAUGAGUCAAAAGGGAGAACAGAACAUAUGAACCAGCCAUAAAACUCAACUGCCUUGAGGUAGGGGGAAAGGGACUCCGGAAUGUGGAAAUGGGCAACCUAUAGGUGCCAGGUCUCUAAGAGUGAUUUAUAACACUGUAGCUAGACCUAUAUAGAUGGGAAGUAGAGCAGACUCUUGUAUUCUGAGCAAUAAAGCUUUAUGAUAUCUUCA
Molecule: long non-coding RNA, 5406 nt
Organism: Anolis carolinensis (green anole)
Lineage: Eukaryota; Metazoa; Chordata; Lepidosauria; Squamata; Anolidae
Gene: mansc4
Product: MANSC domain containing 4
Exons: 4
Source: RefSeq, a predicted model, not a curated record